Papaver somniferum (opium poppy) is the source of this 4085-nucleotide long non-coding RNA. RefSeq lists it as uncharacterized. The record is from RefSeq and is a predicted model, not a curated record. NCBI's taxonomy places the organism in Eukaryota, Viridiplantae, Streptophyta, Magnoliopsida, Ranunculales, Papaveraceae. The transcript has 5 exons.
AAAAAACACGAAAACAAAAAAAAAACACGAAGAAGAGUCCCGCAAAACAAAUUCUUUCUAGCUUUGUCUUCCUUCUCCAUCUCUUUGUUCAUCGUAUUUGUUUUGAUUCUUCUCCAUAACCAUAGUUCCCAACUCAUGUGAUCUCAAAACCUACAUCUAAGAUAUAUAUUUCAGAAAGAAGAAAAAAAACAAGUUUCCUGUUGAACGAAGUUGAAUCUCCAUAACCCUAAUCACUUCUCCGUCUAUCUUCUUCUCGAUUCUCUCUUCUUUUUUUCUGAUUUACUAUUGAUUUAUUUUGUUUUUCUGUCGCAGCCGAUAUACUUUGAUAGGGAAUCUGAAAAAGGGAGUAAUUAUUUUGCCAUGCAAUUCUCAAAAGGAUCAGAUACGAUUCAUAAUUUGUUGGUAAAGCCUAACCCUAAUGUGUGUUGAUUUUAUUUUCGAGGUAAGUUAUUUUCUCAAAAAAGCAUCUAUUCCAGUUAUUUUAUCCGCCGCAUCCCUUCAUCUUCCUCGCUCUUUCUUAGUCCCCUCCCGGCUUCUACCUAUUUUUAAUCGUUCUGCUUUCUUUUUCUUUCUGCCAAUUGAGUUAUUUUCCUCUUCGUAUAUUGUGGUAUUGAUUCACUGUUUUAUUGAUUUGUUAACAGCUGCGAAACGAGAAUUCUCAACCAGGUACGAAUUUGCUUUUGAUUUUCUUUGUUUGUUUGUUUGAAUAAUGUAAAUUAUGCAAUGGACAGGAUUAGGGUCUUUAAUUGGGGUUAUUGGUCAAUAAUAUUAAGUUCAAAAAUAGCUUUAUGUACUGUGUAUUAUGCAGCUUCCAAUAGAACGGAGCCAAGGAAAAGUAUCUCCAUCAAGCAUUUUUUACUGUUUUUUUUUCCUGAUUUACUUUGCCUGUUUACCAUCUUAGAUUGAAUUGAACGUUGACUUGAGGUUUAUGCUGGCAACUAGGAGGAUCUUGGUAGGACUUCCUGUAAGUUUACACUUUCUGUAUGGGUGAUAGAAAUCAAGUCACCUGGAUAGUGUAUGUAGAUGUAGUGAUAUCUAUACUAUAGAUGUUUGCUAAAAAAUUUAGUCUUCGUGAUUGUUAUGUGCAAACUCUUUUGUGUAUAGUUAGUUAGUUUUGCUAAACAUAACGUUGUCAGGACUGAAUUAGGUCUCCUAGCAGGAUCAAGAUAUUUUUGCUUUGUAGGUACCUUGAAAGCGUACUAAUUUGUACUAAUGGCUGCGGGAAUGGGAGCGCAUAUGAUAAUAGAGAAUUGGGGUCCAUGUGCUAUUGGUUGCAGCAAUGAGGGAGCUGGCAAGAACUGAUUUGGAGCAAUGAUUGCUGCUACAAGUUGUGUUGUGUUUAGAGAGGCAAAUAUAAGGAACGUAGAUGAAGGUAUAUCAAAAUCUAUGUAAAUUUGGUAUGAACACUCAUUUUUGGUUCAACACAUAUUUUAACAUUUAUAUGAAACUCAAGACCACAAGCAUGUUUGGUAUCUCCACUACGUACGUAGCAUGUCAGAUGGUAGUACGACUAGCCAGGGGAUAUUGAUAAUGCUUUUUCAUGUGAGGUAUAGCCAAAUUCUAAGCUUCACUUAUGGUUAAUUUAUUAAGACUAAAAGUGGAAAACUGUUUAUUGGACCAAAAGUGAUUGGAUUUUUGUUUUUGCUGACCAAGGGAGAAAAAUUUAGUAAUCUAGUUGCUGACUGAGGGAGAAACACUUUCUCAUUCAUUCAUGCUCAACUCUCCCUGCUGCAGAGAAAAAAAACUGCUGCUCUUGACUGAACUUGGUUAGCAUUUGUACAUCUAAAGUUUGUUGCAUUGGAAAACAUAUUUCUUUAGAUGUAUUAAUGCUAAACCAAUUCAAGCUAGGAAAACUAAUAAAAUUCCAGUUUAUACUGCUGCUAAGCUAGCUUCAGCUUCAAGUAAAGGUAAUUAGUCAUAUGUUUUUUAUGUAGCAGUCAUCUCAAUGUUCAUCUAUAGUCUAUACCCAUAAUAAACAAAUUUUGGUUUGAUUUUCAUACUGAUUUAGCAAGUAAAAAUCGGUUCUGAACAGUGUGAUUGAGAGUUGAAGUACUUUUGUACUUGGUAUUGCUAUGUUUUUUUAAAGUAACAAUAUAGUGGUCUGCUUACACAAUCAAAAUAAACAUUUUUAGAGUAUCUCUUAGUGUCUUCCAAUGGCUAAAUUAGACAGGGAAUAUUUACCUAAACAUCGAGUUGAUUUCCAUUAUUUUCUUAGUUUUCAUUUCUGAGUAUGUGCAUCUUUCCACUGAAUGCAGUUGAAAGAUUUACUAUUACUUUAAAUAUUUACCUAAACAUCUUUCAACAAACAAUCAAUAUCAGCAUGUCUCUUUUCCUGUAAUUACUCCCUGAAUGGGUAAUUUAAUUGUAGUGGAAAUCUGAAAUUUACUUCCUUAAUCUAGCAAUCAUGUGCUCUUUAACUCUGUUAAUUAUUUUAUGGGUAUUAAGGUUUUGUAGCCUGUAGGUGUGUUUGCAUAUCAUGUACGAUUAGGCAUAGGCCUAAUUUAAAACUAAAUUGUUUUAUUGAUUGAUUCUUCGUUGCUUCUUAUGACAAUGCACUAGGUUGAGUAGUUGAGAUAAAAAUUUGGUCAUAUGUACUCUUUCCCUUUGCCUAAUUCUUGGCUUUCUUCAUACGUAAGGAGAGCAUUGUUUAGGAACAAACUGAUUGUCAUGACAUCUAAUGUGGUAUCUAGCGCUAUAUAUAGCAUAUUUCCAGUAGGCGCCAGAAAAAGAACGCCAUGCACUUAUUUCAAUUUAGAUUGUACUAAUAAAUUAAACGUCUGAAGUCUAAUGUAUUUCUCGAAUCUGCUCAACGCUAGCGACACUGUUUCUCAAAAUUAACCAUGAAAGAAUAGUGUUUGUGGGGUACAUAAAGCAAAGCCCCAACUUUUUUGGCGUACAUAAAAGGAAAACCCCAACUUCGACUUUUCUUUGGAUGGUGAAUCUGAGCCCGUGCAGAUUACAAAGAGGAUGUGGUGCAGAUUACAGAGAGGGUUCUUACUACGCUAAUAUAUGAACUACUUUGAGUACGUGCCCACAAUGUCAUUUUGGUUAUCGUUGAUGCAGCCAUAUUAUGGAAUGCCAAUGAAUCUAUUAAUCUCACUGAAAUGUCAUUCUAUGCAACUUUGCAUACCUUUUAUAUUGAUCUGUGUAUCGUAUGUAAGUACCACAAAGACGUGAUAAAUCUGGAAGAAGUUGAGAAGAGAAGGAAAAAGAAGGUUGGAAAUCAAGCUUACCUUAAUUCAAAUAUGUCCAUACUCACUCCAGUAAAGUGUACCCCAAGGGUGUUUACAAUUUAAUGUCGGUACGAGAAUAAAACUGUGAACAAAUCACUUUAGCUCUCAGUUCUUAUAUCAGUCGUGUUUAUGCAAUUGGCAGACAGGUACUCACUGGGCUUCACAAAAGGGACAAAGCCCUCUACAAUGGAUACAAGACUGAAUGCCAAAAGUAGUACAGAAAUCUUGAGACGUUUGAGAAAAGGUGUAAGACUAAGUUUGGAGCAGGAGAAUAGAAGAGUAGCAGAUGAAAAUGUGGUUUUAUGGACCAAGUUUAGUAAGUUGGUAAAUGUUAAUGGCAUUGCAUUUGCUUCUGGAAGCAUAACAUGUGGGUUUCCUAGCUUUUUUCAUAUUUUAUAGAUGAUGCGUCUACUUGCAGAACUUGCACACUAAAUGUCGGCAUCAGGGUUGUGCAAUGCAGUCUUUGGUGCGUUCUGAUUGUUCCUCUCAUGACACCUUUUUACGUCUUUGGAAACACUAGCGACGUUAAUUCUCAUAAUGAUUUAAUAGUAAGUUGUAUAGUCUCUUUGCCAUAAAUUACUGGCUAGGGUAUUCAUGCAGAGAGUGAAAGAUGCCCAUGUGCAAGAAAAGGAUCGACUUUUUUCAGUGAUGAAGGAAGACACCUUUUUGAAGCCAUAUCACAGCCAAUCAAACUUCAAUACAUUUAAGGAUAUUAAUUAUAGAAUCAUUAUGUAUACCGUAUACUUAAUCCCUAAGCUCUGAAAAUGUAUAUUUGGAGAGAGUAUAAUGUCUAAGUUCUUAUUAGUUUUAUUACUGUCUCUUUUAUGAUUCUUUUUUCUUUCACAUUUUAUU